This 253-nucleotide ribosomal RNA is filed under the name uncultured bacterium. Its description in RNAcentral is "partial 16S ribosomal RNA". It matches the Rfam family "Bacterial small subunit ribosomal RNA", at positions 524 to 776 of the family's 1533-position model. The record is from RNAcentral.
UACGUAGGGUGCAAGCGUUGUCCGGAAUUAUUGGGCGUAAAGAGCUCGUAGGCGGUCUGUCACGUCGGCUGUGAAAACCCGAGGCUCAACCUCGGGCCUGCAGUCGAUACGGGCAGACUAGAGUGUGGUAGGGGAGAUCGGAAUUCCUGGUGUAGCGGUGGAAUGCGCAGAUAUCAGGAGGAACACCGGUGGCGAAGGCGGGUCUCUGGGCAGUAACUGACGCUGAGGAGCGAAAGCGUGGGGAGCGAACAGG